Molecule: unclassified non-coding RNA, 520 nt
Filed under: Acidithiobacillus thiooxidans
Lineage: Bacteria; Pseudomonadati; Pseudomonadota; Acidithiobacillia; Acidithiobacillales; Acidithiobacillaceae
Description: partial contains 16S ribosomal RNA, 16S-23S ribosomal RNA intergenic spacer, and 23S ribosomal RNA
Rfam family: tRNA (bases 73-146)
Source: RNAcentral
GGACCUGCGGCUGGAUCACCUCCUUUAAAGAAAUGGGUCCUAGACCCCACACACGCCACUCGGUAAAGAAUCGGGCCUAUAGCUCAGCUGGCUAGAGCACACGACUGAUAAUCGUGAGGUCAGUGGUUCGAGUCCACUUGGGCCCACCAAAUGGGGCUGUAGCUCAGCUGGGAGAGCACCUGCUUUGCAAGCAGGGGGUCACCGGUUCGAUCCCGGUCAGCUCCACCAAAGGGAAGAGGCCCGCGCGCAGCGGGUCGGACGCUGGGGUGGAGAAGUAGGCGGCAGGAAGCGGGUAACAGGUAACAGGAAGUAGAGAGUAGGAAAGUAAUUAAAGAGUCCGUAGUAGUGAGUUUCUGAAUAAAGAAGCUGAGUACUACCGAUUCGCAGUAUGGAAGCGGUAUUGUUCUUUGACAGUUGAGGAAGGGAAGGCCAUGUUUGUCAUCUUGCCGAUGGCAGACCUCCAAGUGGAUGCUUGGGGAUAUAUGGUCAAGUGAAUAAGGGCAUACGGUGGAUGCCUUGG